AGCCUUGGAAGUUGAAGCACACGAUUAUGGUAAGGGGCGUUACAUUUCCAACACACGCUUGAGGUUUUUGGCCAAUCACAACACAAUGGGUCAGCUGACCAAUCAAAGCGCUCUGGACUGUUCGGAAGGAGGGGCUUUGGAGAAACCGGAACUCAAUCAGAGCGUUUCAGACACACUGGGAAUAGAGGUACUGCAAUAACAUACAAUAUCUGCUGGAGAAUCUGGAAGCGAAGCCGAUUUCUUUUAAUUCUCUGCCCUAGAGAUGAACCUUCCCCUCUGAUUCAUGCUCAUGACCAUUAAAUCCUUUUCACAUUGUUAAAUUGUUAAACUCCUAGCCACAAAUCGUUCCUGCUUCUGUACAUGCA
Molecule: long non-coding RNA, 365 nt
Organism: Ictalurus punctatus (channel catfish)
Lineage: Eukaryota; Metazoa; Chordata; Actinopteri; Siluriformes; Ictaluridae
Source: Ensembl